GGAGGCAGCAGUGGGGAAUAUUGCACAAUGGGCGCAAGCCUGAUGCAGCCAUGCCGCGUGUAUGAAGAAGGCCUUCGGGUUGUAAAGUACUUUCAGCGAGGAGGAAGGCGUUAAGGUUAAUAACCUUAGUGAUUGACGUUACUCGCAGAAGAAGCACCGGCUAACUCCGUGCCAGCAGCCGCGGUAAUACGGAGGGUGCAAGCGUUAAUCGGAAUUACUGGGCGUAAAGCGCACGCA
This 237-nucleotide ribosomal RNA is filed under the name Klebsiella aerogenes. Its description in RNAcentral is "partial 16S ribosomal RNA". It matches the Rfam family "Bacterial small subunit ribosomal RNA", at positions 344 to 573 of the family's 1533-position model. RNAcentral also lists the same sequence under 2 other names. Lineage: Bacteria; Pseudomonadati; Pseudomonadota; Gammaproteobacteria; Enterobacterales; Enterobacteriaceae. The record is from RNAcentral.